This 491-nucleotide ribosomal RNA is filed under the name uncultured bacterium. RNAcentral's name for it is "partial 16S ribosomal RNA". It matches the Rfam family "Bacterial small subunit ribosomal RNA", at positions 29 to 506 of the family's 1533-position model. The record is from RNAcentral.
AGUGAACGCUGGCGGUAGGCCUAACACAUGCGAGUCGAACGGCAGCACAGUAAGAGCUUGCUCUUACGGGUGGCGAGUGGCGGACGGGUGAGGAAUACAUCGGAAUCUACUUUUUCGUGGGGGAUAACGUAGGGAAACUUACGCUAAUACCGCAUACGACCUACGGGUGAAAGCAGGGGAUCUUCGGACCUUGCGCGAUUGAAUGAGCCGAUGUCGGAUUAGCUAGUUGGCGGGGUAAAGGCCCACCAAGGCGACGAUCCGUAGCUGGUCUGAGAGGAUGAUCAGCCACACUGGAACUGAGACACGGUCCAGACUCCUACGGGAGGCAGCAGUGGGGAAUAUUGGACAAUGGGCGCAAGCCUGAUCCAGCCAUACCGCGUGAGUGAAGAAGGCCUUCGGGUUGUAAAGCCCUUUUGUUGGGAAAGAAAAGCAGCAGGUUAAUACCCCGCUGUUCUGACGGUACCCAAAGAAUAAGCACCGGCUAACUUCGU